UUAGUCAGGGAUGGUGGGGACAAUCUGGAGGGCAGCAUGAUCCCCCAGGUGGGCAGACUGCAGGGGCUGGAGGCACACUAGAAAAUGAGAGCCCAAAAGAAU
This is a long non-coding RNA of Sapajus apella (tufted capuchin), 102 nucleotides long. RefSeq lists it as uncharacterized. The record is from RefSeq and is a predicted model, not a curated record. Lineage: Eukaryota; Metazoa; Chordata; Mammalia; Primates; Cebidae. The transcript has 3 exons.